Molecule: non-coding RNA, 46 nt
Filed under: Trichobilharzia regenti
Lineage: Eukaryota; Metazoa; Platyhelminthes; Trematoda; Strigeidida; Schistosomatidae
Source: RNAcentral
CUACUACUGAAGAGUCCAAAACUAGGACGAAACAGCUGUCCAGUAC